GACCUGGUGCCGAAGUGGAAACGGAGGUGUCUGCAAAACACCCAUGCAGGGGUUCGAUUCCCCUCCAGGUCU
RNAcentral lists this transfer RNA (72 nucleotides) under Candidatus Amesbacteria bacterium RIFCSPHIGHO2_01_FULL_48_32b. RNAcentral's name for it is "tRNA-Cys". It matches the Rfam family "tRNA". From Rfam's summary of the family: Transfer RNA (tRNA) molecules are approximately 80 nucleotides in length. Their secondary structure includes four short double-helical elements and three loops (D, anti-codon, and T loops). Lineage: Bacteria; Candidatus Amesiibacteriota. The record is from RNAcentral. RNAcentral also lists the same sequence under 2 other names.